CACGGAGGGGGCUAGCGUUGUUCGGAAUGACUGGGCGUAAAGCGCGCGUAGGCGGUUCGGUAAGUUGGAUGUGAAAGCCCGGGGCUCAACCCCGGAUGUGCGUUCAAAACUAGCCGGACUUGAGACCGAGAGAGGAGGGCGGAAUUCCCAGUGUAGAGGUGAAAUUCGUAGAUAUUGGGAAGAACACCGGUGGCGAAGGCGGCUCUCUGGCUCGGUUCUGACGCUGAGGUGCGAAAGCGUGGGGAGCAAACAGGAUUAGAAA
RNAcentral lists this ribosomal RNA (262 nucleotides) under uncultured bacterium. RNAcentral's name for it is "partial 16S ribosomal RNA". It matches the Rfam family "Bacterial small subunit ribosomal RNA", at positions 524 to 784 of the family's 1533-position model. The record is from RNAcentral.